GAGAAAAUCACAGGAAAACAAAAUCAAAUAAAACCCACGAAAAAAAAAAGAUAGAAGAAGAAGAAGAGGAAGGAACGUGAUCAACAUCCCCAAGUUCAAAAUCAGUAAGGUUCUGGUUGAUAUUCGGGAGACUAAUAUUUUGAGAAAGUCGUGACCACUAGAGAUCCGACGUAGCUUCAUAGUAGCCGAACUUUUGGUUUGAGCUUUUGGCUAAGAGGCGUUAUAUGAAGAGCCUCUUCUUGUUGAUGUU
Long non-coding RNA from Asparagus officinalis (garden asparagus), 250 nucleotides. RefSeq lists it as uncharacterized. The transcript is spliced from 3 exons. Lineage: Eukaryota; Viridiplantae; Streptophyta; Magnoliopsida; Asparagales; Asparagaceae. The record is from RefSeq and is a predicted model, not a curated record.